AAAGGUUGGCAAAUCGAGUAUACAUGCAGUCGAGCGAAUGGAUUAAGAGCUUGCUCUUAUGAAGUUAGCGGCGGACGGGUGAGUAACACGUGGGUAACCUGCCCAUAAGACUGGGAUAACUCCGGGAAACCGGGGCUAAUACCGGAUAAUAUUUUGAACUGCAUGGUUCGAAAUUGAAAGGCGGCUUCGGCUGUCACUUAUGGAUGGACCCGCGUCGCAUUAGCUAGUUGGUGAGGUAACGGCUCACCAAGGCAACGAUGCGUAGCCGACCUGAGAGGGUGAUCGGCCACACUGGGACUGAGACACGGCCCAGACUCCUACGGGAGGCAGCAGUAGGGAAUCUUCCGCAAUGGACGAAAGUCUGACGGAGCAACGCCGCGUGAGUGAUGAAGGCUUUCGGGUCAUAAAACUCUGUUGUAAGGGAAGAACAAGUGCUAUUUGAAUAAGCUGGCACCUUGACGGUACCUAACCAGAAAGCCACCGAUAACUACGUGCCAAAAGCCGAAAUACAU
Molecule: ribosomal RNA, 512 nt
Filed under: Bacillus cereus
Lineage: Bacteria; Bacillati; Bacillota; Bacilli; Caryophanales; Bacillaceae
Description: bacterial SSU rRNA
Rfam family: Bacterial small subunit ribosomal RNA
Source: RNAcentral